AACGAACGCUGGCGGCAGGCCUAACACAUGCAAGUCGAGCGAGGACUUCGGUCCUAGCGGCGGACGGGUGAGGAACGCGUGGGAACGUGCCCUUUGCUUCGGAAUAGCCCUGGGAAACUGGGAUUAAUACCGGAUGAGCCCAUUCGGGGUAAGAGUUAUCGGCGAAGGAUCGGCCCGCGUGGGAUUAGGUAGUUGGUGGGGUAAUGGCCUACCAUGCCGACGAUCCAUAGCUGGUUUGAGAGGAUGAUCAGCCACACUGGGACUGAGACACGGCCCAGACUCCUAGGGAAGGCAGCAGUGGGGAAUCUUAGACAAUGGGGGAAACCCUGAUCUAGCCAUGCCGCGUGUGCGAUGAAGGCCUUAGGGUUGUAAAGCUAUUUCAGCUGGGAAGAUAAUGACGGUACCAGCAGAAGAAGCACCGGCUAACUCCGUG
Molecule: ribosomal RNA, 433 nt
Filed under: uncultured bacterium
Lineage: Bacteria
Description: partial 16S ribosomal RNA
Rfam family: Bacterial small subunit ribosomal RNA
Source: RNAcentral